UUACGACCAUAUCACGUUGAAACACAGAUUCCCGUACGAUCAACGAAGUUAAGCAACGUCGUGUCGGAUCAGUACCUAGAUAGGUGACCGCUUGGGAAUAUCAGGUGCUGUAAG
Acanthosepion pharaonis is the source of this 114-nucleotide non-coding RNA. The record is from the annotation of a GenBank genome assembly. Lineage: Eukaryota; Metazoa; Mollusca; Cephalopoda; Sepiida; Sepiidae.